CCUACGGGAGGCAGCAGUGGGGAAUUUUGGACAAUGGGCGCAAGCCUGAUCCAGCCAUGCCGCGUGCGGGAAGAAGGCCUUCGGGUUGUAAACCGCUUUUGUCAGGGAAGAAAUCCUUUGGGUUAAUACCUCGGAGGGAUGACGGUACCUGAAGAAUAAGCACCGGCUAACUACGUGCCAGCAGCCGCGGUAAUACGUAGGGUGCGAGCGUUAAUCGGAAUUACUGGGCGUAAAGCGUGCGCAGGCGGUUAUGCAAGACAGAUGUGAAAUCCCCGGGCUCAACCUGGGAACUGCAUUUGUGACUGCAUAGCUAGAGUACGGUAGAGGGGGAUGGAAUUCCGCGUGUAGCAGUGAAAUGCGUAGAUAUGCGGAGGAACACCGAUGGCGAAGGCAAUCCCCUGGACCUGUACUGACGCUCAUGCACGAAAGCGUGGGGAGCAAACAGGAUUAGAUACCCUGGUAGUCCACGCCCUAAACCGAUGUCAACUGGUUGUUGGACGGCUUGCUGUUCAGUAACGAAGCUAACGCGNGAGUGACGCCGNGGNGGACGCGCGAGUGACGACGAAGAGUAGAGNGNGAGAGNGCGAGGACGACGACGAGGGAGGAGG
This 608-nucleotide ribosomal RNA is filed under the name uncultured bacterium. Its description in RNAcentral is "bacterial SSU rRNA". The stretch from base 1 to 540 matches the Rfam family "Bacterial small subunit ribosomal RNA", at positions 338 to 873 of the family's 1533-position model. The record is from RNAcentral.